UCAUCCCUAAAAAGCAAAAAAUAAAAUAAAAUAAAAUUUGAUUGUGAUGAUCAUUGUAAAAAAUAAAUAUACUAGGCACGAUGCUCUUCUGCCUGCAUCCCCCAUUUUUGGUUAGUACACCUGGAUGCACAAGCCUGAGGUGUGGUCAUCGCAAUCCUUCCCUUGUCUCUCUUACUUCCCAGUGACAAACUUAGAAUAUGACCUUAUUAUUGCUUAAAUUAUGGCCUUUCUAUCUCCACUGCUGCUUCCUUAGCUUAGACUUCCAACUGUUGCCUUUGUCUUCUGGGUAAACCCCUAACUCCAGCCUUUCACAUUUCAGGCCAUCUUCCAUUCCACCGAAUGUAAUCAGGCUCUCCUUCCAAGAUAAAAUCCUUCGGUGACUCCACAUUUCUUAUGGACUAAUGUUCAAGCUCCCUUGGGAUCUUGUCCCAGAAAACUAUUUUAAAUUCACUUGCUGCUAUGCCCUCAUCACCUCCCGUGUCUAGUCACCCACCAGUCUCUAAGCACCAGGUUCUCAUAGCUGCAUCUCAGUGUGCACUGCUCUCCUUUCUUGAAAUGUCCUUUGUCACAUUAUGCAUUUGGCAUACUCCUACUCAUCCUUCAAGAUUUAGUGAGAAUGCCACCAACUCUGGGAAAUGGUUUCUGCCAUUUCCAUCAAAGUGUAGCGCUUCUUUUUUCUGUGCCCUCAACCUUUUUUUGUGCCUUUCUCCAGCCUUCUAAUAUAGCACUUAUCACAUUGUUGGGUUUAUUGACUCCCACGUGCAUCUUCCCGAUAGAUGGUGAGGUUGUGAGAAGGAGGGGCAGAGUCUUCUUCAUCUCUUUACCUUGAGGGCCAAGGACAAUACCUGGUACUUAGUAGAUACUCAGAUGAUGCUUGUGAAAUUGGCAAAUUAGCUAAUAAUAACACAGUUGCGGGGCAGAAUCCGCUUCAUCUCUGCAUCUUUGAGGGCCAACCACAAUGCCUGGCACUGAGUAGAUACUUAGAUGAUGCCUGUGAAAUUAGCAAAUUAACUAAAAAUACACACAGUUGCAGGAAAGACUCUUAGAACUAGUCAAAACCCCUGAAAACCCACAUUCCCAAAUAGAGGCUCUUAUUAAAGUAGUAAAAUUCUAGUCACUCUGGCCAUAGCUGUCCCCAGUCCAGUGAACCAUAUGCAUCCCCCUGGGGAAUCUUUCUGCACAGACAGCCUAAAGGCAGACCCAGAAAAGGAAAUGAAACACCUGCUAAUUUACAAACACCUAGGUAUUUUGAAUAGUAAUUAACACAAAGCUCACUAAUAGUUAGGGAGUAAUUAAUAGCUAAAUGUUGGCAUUUAACAAAAUGAUGUUUUUCCCCUUUUCUACCCAAGCAAUGCUUUUAAAUUGAGGAUGCUCAAAAUGGCUUGAAAUGGGAGGAAAUCAUUUCAGACACCACGAGUAUUUAAAAGGUAGUGCUGCUGGUGGGCGUGCUUCAUUGCCAUCAUUAACCACAACGGGAACAGCCAGCAUUUACUGAGUCCCCACCAGCCAAGGCAGAGGCGCAGGAUUGAAGGCAGGCUACUGCAUUCACAAAAAUCUCUCAUAUGAAAACAUAUUACACUUGCAAAGCAAAUGAAUUUGGAGACAGGUGGGUGAUCAUUCAUGAUCCAGAGACCCUGGGCUAUACAAAAGGAUCUCCCACAAGGUUCCUUUAAAUAGGAAACUGCCAGAGAGCACUUACAAUAUUAUUGAGUUUAUAAGGAAUCAAUUAAGAACUAAUUCUUUCAGAAACCAAUCUAUCGCACAACAGGGGUAUAGCUACAUUUAGAAUUGCUGCUCCAAUCUUUGCCUUUCCAUCACCCUUUGUCAGCAACCAUUAUACAACCAAAACCUGUAAAGUAAAAUGCACAGACAGGGUCAGGAGACCUGGGUUUGAAUCUGGCUUUUGGCCAUGCUGCUCCAGCCUCAGUGUUCUCACCUGGAACUGGGGCCAACAGUCUCGGUGGCAAGGAUUAAGAAAGAAUAUGAAUUUGAAAGAGCCCAUGUCAUGGGUUGCUGUUCACUCAUACAUUAGUUCAUUAAGGCUACCCAAACAAAGUACCGCAAACUGAGCAGCUUAAACAACAGAACUGCUUUGUCUCAUAGUUCUGGAGGCUAGAAGUUCAAGAUCAAGGUAUUGGGGGGGGGGUUGGUUACCUCCAAAGGCUGUUCCAUGCCUCUAUCCUAGCUCCCAGUAGUUUACUGAUAAUCUUUGGUGCUCCUUGGCUUCUGCUGCAACACUCCAAUUUCUGCCUUUAUCAUCACACAUCAUUUUCUCUGUGUGUGUGUCCAGUAUGACCCCCUCUUAACUAAUUACAUCUGCAGUGACCCUCUUUCCAAAUAAAGCCACAUUCUGAGAUACUGGUGGUUAGAACUUUAACAUAUGAAUUUUGAGAGAACACUAUUCAGCUCAUAACAACUCAUUAUUGCUCUGGCUUUAAGUCAUUGAAAUGACAGAUAUGUGGUGCUUUUUUCUUGGUAGAUAUUUUGCUUUUCUUGGCUAAGAUGUUGCCAAGUGAAAGGCAUUUUUAUAGAAACAACAGCAAACCACAAAGAGAAGAUCUUGAACAUAGAAAUCAAGACAAAAGGGAAACUUUAAUAAGAGAAAUCAGAUUGGGCAGCAGCUCCAAUAGCAGUUUUCUUUUUCCUGACAGCCUUUUAUCCCUUCCCUCUUAGGAAAAACAGUGCACUCACCAGGGCCUUGGUCACAUCCACCUUGCCACACUGAGGAGUACGAAGGAGGUUUGGCACUCUAUUCUUAUCAUGACUCACUUUUUGCAGGAAGAUGGUUUCUCAGCGGAACCAUCCUUCUGUCAGAUGGAGAAGGCUCUCUGCCUCCAGGGUUCUGCCAAACCGGCCCUAGGAGCAAUGACUUGGUCACUUCCUCCCAAGUGUGGUUUCCAAUAAACUCGACAACAACAACAAAAAGCCAACUGAUGAUGUUGUCCCAUAGAUUGUACUCCCAUUGUAUUGCUGGAAACUUGGAGGUCAGAGGCUGGAAGAAACCAGUUGAGGAGCUAUAAAGGCUAGGACACAUUUGCUUUGUGCUCUGGUCUCCACACAGUGACUUGGAUAUUGGGGUAGACUGAUUGUAGUAAUGACCGAAUUUGUUCCCACCUUCUGUAUCCAGGCCCUCCUGCACUGACUUUUGCCAUAGCCAUUUGUCUUGAUUUGGCCAAAGAGAACAUCUUGAAAAGUGCUUGUACACUGGAGCUGCUUUUGCAACUGCUACCACCAAAAUGAUCAAGCUCAAGCUAGUCUCCUGGAGGAAGAGACACCACAUGAGCAGCAAUGAGCCAUCACAAACAACAAGCUGCCAGCUAACUCUGCAGCUGAUCACGGAUGUAUGAUGCAUGAUGUAUGAUGUAUGUGUCCCGCUGAUAUUAGCAGAGUCUGGCCUCAGGCUGGAAGAACCAUUCAGGUGCAGGAGACCCAAACUGCAGCCUCUCAAAAUUGAAUGGCCACCUACAUCUGUCUAGGACCCACUGAAAACCAAAAACAGUUGUGAAAUGGAGAGACCUUAUGUGCCCAAGUCAACAAGCUAUUGAAGGAGCUGGAUUUUAAUCCCGAUGCUUUGGCUAAUUGGAUGACCUUGGACAGACACUUUGUUUGCAGUGGUAUUAGCAUUUCUGCAAUAUGCAGAUGAAGAAGCUGAGGACCUGACUCAUUCCCCCAAGAUUGGUAAAAACCUGAAGCCUAGAGUUUCUGGUCUUUUUUACACAAACAAAGGAAAGUUCAGCCAAGAAUGUAGCCAAGACAGAGGAAAGGGGAGCCAAGGGAUGGAGAGAGACAAACACUUGCUGGCAUUGUUUGAAUAUGUGGAUUCAGUCAUGCCUGAAGAUGAGCCUGGACCUGUGCCUUUCCAUGUGUUGCCAUGACUUCAGAGUGGCCACAGAACAAGCCAGGAGCAUGCUUCCUUCCAUUAUGGGAAAAAAAGGUGGGGAGAAGAGGAAGAAAAGCCAACGAGAAGAAAAAUAACCAUCUGUUUACUUGCUGAACAGGACAAGCUGUGGUUUUGCAUGAAAUUUGCAAAAGGAACCAGCAGUAUAGAUAGCAAAAAUGGCAAACACAAUUUGAAUGUUUUGUACAUAUUAACUUUCUCAAUCCUUACAAGUAAGUACUCUGAACUAGGUACUAUUUUCAUCUCCCUUUCAGCCAAGGAAACUGAGGCACAGAGAGUUUAAAUAAUGUGCCCCAAAUAAGUGGUGCUAACACAACUACUGAGUGAUGGAGACUGAAUCCUGUGAAGCUAACAUUUAAAUUAUACCGAUCUUAGAUUUUAGUGGCUUUAAAGUUUUCAGCUUUUUUUUUUUUUCGGUCUUUUUGCCAUUUCUUGGGCCGCUCCUGCGGCAUAUGGAGG
Molecule: RNA transcript, 4357 nt
Organism: Sus scrofa (pig)
Lineage: Eukaryota; Metazoa; Chordata; Mammalia; Artiodactyla; Suidae
Gene name: flavin-containing monooxygenase 5-like
Source: RefSeq, a predicted model, not a curated record